Molecule: ribosomal RNA, 483 nt
Filed under: uncultured bacterium
Lineage: Bacteria
Description: partial 16S ribosomal RNA
Rfam family: Bacterial small subunit ribosomal RNA
Source: RNAcentral
UUGAACGCUGGCGGCAGGCCUAACACAUGCAAGUCGAGCGGAUGAAGGGAGCUUGCUCCUGGAUUCAGCGGCGGACGGGUGAGUAAUGCCUAGGAAUCUGCCUGGUAGUGGGGGAUAACGUCCGGAAACGGGCGCUAAUACCGCACACGUCCUGAGGGAGAAAGUGGGGGAUCUUCGGACCUCACGCUAUCAGAUGAGCCUAGGUCGGAUUAGCUAGUUGGUGGGGUAAAGGCCUACCAAGGCGACGAUCCGUAACUGGUCUGAGAGGAUGAUCAGUCACACUGGAACUGAGACACGGUCCAGACUCCUACGGGAGGCAGCAGUGGGGAAUAUUGGACAAUGGGCGAAAGCCUGAUCCAGCCAUGCCGCGUGUGUGAAGAAGGUCUUCGGAUUGUAAAGCACUUUAAGUUGGGAGGAAGGGCAGUAAGUUAAUACCUUGCUGUUUUGACGUUACCAACAGAAUAAGCACCGGCUAACUUCGUG